This 354-nucleotide ribosomal RNA is filed under the name uncultured bacterium. RNAcentral describes it as "bacterial SSU rRNA". It matches the Rfam family "Bacterial small subunit ribosomal RNA", at positions 8 to 350 of the family's 1533-position model. The record is from RNAcentral.
AGAGUUUGAUCAUGGCUCAGGAUGAACGCUAGCUACAGGCUUAACACAUGCAAGUCGAGGGGAAACGAUAUUGGAAGCUUGCUUCCGAUAGGCGUCGACCGGCGCACGGGUGAGUAACGCGUAUCCAACCUGCCCACCACUUGGGGAUAACCUUGCGAAAGUAAGACUAAUACCCAAUGAUAUCUCUAGAAGACAUCUGAAAGAGAUUAAAGAUUUAUCGGUGAUGGAUGGGGAUGCGUCUGAUUAGCUUGUUGGCGGGGUAACGGCCACCAAGGCGACGAUCAGUAGGGGUUCUGAGAGGAAGGUCCCCCANAUUGGAACUGAGACACGGUCCAAAACUCCGUACGGGAGGCA